GCAAGUCGAACGCAAUCUUUUAACAAUGAGUGCUUGCACUCAGCGUUUUAAGUGCGAGUGGCGAACGGGUGAGUAACACGUGGGCAAUCUGCCCAAAAGUGGGGGAUAACACUUGGAAACAGGUGCUAAUACCGCAUCAACCGGCUGACCGCAUGGUCGGCCGGGCAAAGACGGCGUCAGCUGUCGCUUUUGGAUGAGCCCGCGGCGUAUUAACUAGUUGGUAAGGUAACGGCUUACCAAGGUGAUGAUACGUAGCCGAACUGAGAGGUUGAUCGGCCACAUUGGGACUGAGACACGGCCCAAACUCCUACGGGAGGCAGCAGUAGGGAAUCUUCCACAAUGGACGCAAGUCUGAUGGAGCAACGCCGCGUGUAUGAAGAAGGUCUUCGGAUCGUAAAAUACUGUUGUCAGAGAAGAACACGUGAUAGAGUAACUGCUAUGGCGCUGACGGUAUCUGACCAGCAAGUCACGGCUAACUAC
RNAcentral lists this ribosomal RNA (480 nucleotides) under uncultured bacterium. RNAcentral describes it as "bacterial SSU rRNA". It matches the Rfam family "Bacterial small subunit ribosomal RNA", at positions 57 to 504 of the family's 1533-position model. The record is from RNAcentral.